UCAGUAUGAUCAUCAUGAGCACCAUUUUGACCAACUGUGUUUUCAUGACAUUUAGUGAUCCUCCAGAAUGGAACAAGAUAGUAGAGUAUACCUUCACAGGUAUCUACACCUUCGAAUCACUUACCAAGAUUGUGGCGCGAGGCUUUUGUAUAGACGGGUUCACUUUUCUACGAGAUCCAUGGAACUGGCUGGACUUCAUGGUGAUCUCUAUGGCAUAUGUAACAGAAUUUGUGGACCUGGGGAAUGUCUCGGCGCUGAGAACGUUCAGAGUUCUCCGAGCAUUGAAAACUAUUUCUGUGAUUCCAGGUGAGACUCCCAUUUAAACACUAAAGCCGAGUUUAUUUUGAUUUCUCAUUAAAUGGAUUCUCAUAAUUUCUUAUUACUUUAGACUCUUAAAGAGGAUGCCUCAGAAACGAUAACUGUUUUGUUGACUUUUUAUUUUCCAAACGAUCAAAAAUGGUAGCAAUACAUUUUUGAUAGGCUUCGCAGUCUACUGGCAGUCUUGUGGUGUUAAGUUGAAAAAGUGCUCCUGAUAUGACAUACUAGAAGACGAACAACCCAUAUAAUACGCAGGUGGGAUACACUGCAAAUGUUGUAUUAAUGCUUGUAUUUUAAUAAUAUUCUCCCCCAAAGUGACAUUAACAGAUUCAUACAGUAUACUGAGAGCAGAUCGUAUGGGUAGGAGCCUGAGUUGUCCACCAAGGAAAACGUCAGGCCCUAGUUGAUAACUCUCCCAUGGUUAAGAAA
Oncorhynchus nerka (sockeye salmon) is the source of this 747-nucleotide long non-coding RNA. RefSeq lists it as uncharacterized. The record is from RefSeq and is a predicted model, not a curated record. The transcript is spliced from 3 exons. NCBI's taxonomy places the organism in Eukaryota, Metazoa, Chordata, Actinopteri, Salmoniformes, Salmonidae.